GACAACUUCAAGGUUAGGCAACUUGGUGGAGACUUUAAGGAAUUCACUAUCCAUAGGUCUAAUUUAAGGGUGCCACAGGAUUGGAGAAAUGAAAAGGUAAUGCUGAAUUCUUGAGAAAGAUUUGGUCUCGUCCAGGUGCUAAAAGAACCCCAUGUCUUGAUUUUUCUCCUCUCAAGAAAGUUCAGAGG
Quercus robur (English oak) is the source of this 188-nucleotide long non-coding RNA. RefSeq lists it as uncharacterized. Lineage: Eukaryota; Viridiplantae; Streptophyta; Magnoliopsida; Fagales; Fagaceae. The record is from RefSeq and is a predicted model, not a curated record. The transcript is spliced from 2 exons.